RNAcentral lists this ribosomal RNA (714 nucleotides) under Triticum aestivum (bread wheat). RNAcentral describes it as "partial small subunit ribosomal RNA". Lineage: Eukaryota; Viridiplantae; Streptophyta; Magnoliopsida; Poales; Poaceae. The record is from RNAcentral.
AUGCACUUUCUCCCCCGUCUUCCACUCUUCUUCCUCCUCUCUUCUUCUUCCUCCUCUCUUCUUCUUCCUCCUCUCUUCCCCAUCGUCGGCCGCACACCAUUUCCCCCCGCUCACUGCUCGCCCUCCCGUGCUAUCUUCCUUGGUAGCUCGCGCUACCAUAUAACUGGAAUUAACCCAUGCAAGUCGAAGAACGAUUGGCCGGUGCUGCCGGCUGGCGUCAAGUUCGAUCCCACGGAUCAGGAGCUGAUCGAGCACCUUGAGGCCAAAGUGAGUGCUGACAACGCGAGAUCUCACCCUCUCAUCGAUUUGUUCAUACCAACGAUCGACAGCGAGGACGGCAUAUGCUACACCCAUCCUGAGAAACUUCCAGGUAUCACACUGAGUGGCCUAAGCAAUCAUUUCUUCCAGCGCAAUUCCAGGGCGUUCAAAAGGGGCACAUGGACGCAUCGCAAGAUACAGUCGCAGUGCGGUAUGCACGCGAUGUGGCACAACACCGGCAAUACAUUGCCGGUGAUGGUCAACGGCCGUCAGACGGGCAGCAAAAAGGUUCUGGUGCUGCACAUGAACAAGAACUUCGACCAGCAGAGGACCAACUGGGUGAUGCACCAGUACCACCUCGGGGACCUGGAGCAAGAGAAGGAGCGGGAGCUGGUCCUCUGCAAGAUUUUCUACCAGACGAACACUAGGGUCGAGCAAGUUUCAACUGGGCUGUAG